RNAcentral lists this unclassified non-coding RNA (425 nucleotides) under soil metagenome. RNAcentral describes it as "partial contains 5.8S ribosomal RNA, internal transcribed spacer 2, and large subunit ribosomal RNA". The stretch from base 1 to 120 matches the Rfam family "5.8S ribosomal RNA", at positions 35 to 154 of the family's 154-position model. The record is from RNAcentral.
GAUGAAGAACGCAGCGUAAUGCGAUAAGUAGUGUGAAUUGCAGAAUUCCGUGAAUCAUCGAAUCUUUGAACGCACAUUGCGCCUUCUGGUAUUCCGGAAGGCAUGCCUGUUCGAGAGUCAUUAACAACCGUUUCGAUCCCUUUCUUUCAGAAAUUACAAAGAGGAAAAGGGUUUGGUUAUGGUGGAGGAGGGAAAGGGAGCGUUUAGCCUGUAAAAAAAGAGGCUGUGUUCCGCCUCCCCCCCAAAAUUGUACAGGCGGUCGUGUGCGCCCACGCAUCGAGGUGUUGUAAAAGCUGCCACGGCACUUUUCACCUGUGCAGUGCGAGAUUGGCCAGCCGGUUUAAAAACCCCUCCAAACAAUCAAAGGUUGACCUCGGAUCAGGUAGGGAUACCCGCUGAACUUAAGCAUAUCAAUAAGCGGAGGA